AUACGUAGGGAGCGAGCGUUGUCCGGAAUUACUGGGUGUAAAGGGAGCGUAGGCGGGAUGGCAAGUCAGAUGUGAAAACUAUGGGCUCAACCCAUAGACUGCAUUUGAAACUGUUAUUCUUGAGUGACGUAGAGGUAAGCGGAAUUCCUGGUGUAGCGGUGAAAUGCGUAGAUAUCAGGAGGAACAUCGGGGGCGAAGGCGGCUUACUGGUCGUGUACUGACUCUGAGGCUCGAAAGCGUUGUGAGCAAACAGGAUUAGAUACCCUGGUAUUCCACCCUUUAAACGAUGAAGACUAGGUGUGGGGGGACUGACACCUUCCGCGCCUCAGUUAACACAAUUAGAAAUCCACCUAUGGAGUACGGCCGCAAGGUUGAAACUCUAAGAAAUUAACGUGG
Molecule: ribosomal RNA, 396 nt
Filed under: uncultured bacterium
Lineage: Bacteria
Description: partial 16S ribosomal RNA
Rfam family: Bacterial small subunit ribosomal RNA
Source: RNAcentral